AUGUCUAGUCUUGUAUCACAGAAAGAGGAUUGCAAACACCACUUCAGGUUUAAAGCCAAGGAAAUUUAUGCCAAACUUAUCAAGAAAUUUGGGUAUGAGACAAUCUUUGGCCUCUCACCACCAAGUAUUCACAAGGUGUUGGUAAACAAAGAAGACCCAGGAGAGAGCGAAGAAGAAGAAGAAGGAAAAAGAGGAGGAGUCGGAAGAAGAAAGUGAUCAGGAGCACUUCAAGUCCCAGCCAGAGAGCAUGGAUGAGCUUCUGAGGGACACCGACUCUGAGGAAGAAGGAGAGACGAAGGGGGCACGCAAACCAAGGGACAGAACUCAGGCUAAACUGGCCUGGCUACAAGAAGGAGGGGACAUCAUGGACUUCCUGGACCCCAG
Magallana angulata is the source of this 384-nucleotide long non-coding RNA. RefSeq lists it as uncharacterized. The transcript is spliced from 3 exons. The record is from RefSeq and is a predicted model, not a curated record. Lineage: Eukaryota; Metazoa; Mollusca; Bivalvia; Ostreida; Ostreidae.